CUUUUGGUGCGGCCAACCGACAUGGGGCUGUCUCUUCACUCUCCCUCCCGUCAUUUUAAUUUGUCGGGGSUGGGAUGCUUGUGGUCGGUAGCCUGUGUAGUUGUACCCUGCUGUGGGUAGCGAAGUUGUCCCYCGAUUGAAUAUUUGCUUGCCUAUYUNACAUUUUUUUUGUCGUUUGGGAGCCGUAAWGACGGCAAAAUCCUUGUGCAGGUGCGUGGUCGAAUGSCCUUCUUGCUAUCNCCNGGAUUUUUGUCNCCUCUCACAGAUGCAGNGCCUAGUGNUGGCUCUGCGUGACUUUACUCCGCAGGCUUCGGGAGGUCCCCUGUACRAAUCAUUGCGACGUGGGCSCCGUUUGUCGUGUUGCUUGUUUGNCACNCAAAUCNUAUUGUUCUGUCUGGAGUCGGGAUGACGAAGGNCAAGAAUGAAGUGUCCGGGGUGAUGCUGCNUACAUGGGGNAANNCCUCUCGGAUUUGUAUGAGCAGCGAUUCCCGG
This 492-nucleotide unclassified non-coding RNA is filed under the name Carex divisa. Its description in RNAcentral is "partial external transcribed spacer". Lineage: Eukaryota; Viridiplantae; Streptophyta; Magnoliopsida; Poales; Cyperaceae. The record is from RNAcentral.